Molecule: non-coding RNA, 187 nt
Organism: Phoenix dactylifera (date palm)
Lineage: Eukaryota; Viridiplantae; Streptophyta; Magnoliopsida; Arecales; Arecaceae
Source: RefSeq, a predicted model, not a curated record
CACCCGUAGAGAACUCUCCCCACGAGCAUGCAAGGCAUCUUAACCAAAUCUAAAAAAAUGUAACUAAAAUAAUUCAGCUGAAAUAAAUGCAAUCUUAUUCCAUUGACUGACACAAAUUAUAAAGUCUCACAGUUCUCAAUACGCAGCGGAACAAUAAAGAUAGAACAUUGAUUUAAAUAAAACCUAA